GCCUUUGUGGUGUAAUUGUCAGCACACUUGGCGCGUAUUCGAGAGGUCCGUGGUUCGAUUCCCGGCCAGGGCA
Molecule: non-coding RNA, 73 nt
Organism: Stegodyphus mimosarum
Lineage: Eukaryota; Metazoa; Arthropoda; Arachnida; Araneae; Eresidae
Source: Rfam